This 278-nucleotide long non-coding RNA is filed under the name Prunus persica (peach). RNAcentral describes it as "long non-coding RNA (PPER_LNC005676)". The record is from RNAcentral. Lineage: Eukaryota; Viridiplantae; Streptophyta; Magnoliopsida; Rosales; Rosaceae.
GUGUCGAGCCGGUCAUCCAGAGCCUCGGCUCUGUCCAGCGUUUCCGAUUUGGAAUCCGAGUCUGAGGACGAGUCGGUUUCAGCGGUGGACCAAAUCUCUACCAUUGCAAUGUCCGAUUUGAAAUCCAUCGCUGAUUGUAUGAUAUCGUCUGGCUAUGGAAAAGAGUGCGUGAGAAUUUACAAAAUCAUAAGAAAAUCGAUCGUUGACGAAGGCCUGUACCUUCUUGGAGUGGAGAAGCUGAGCCUCUCUCAGGUUCAGAAAAUGGACUGGCAGGUUUU